RNAcentral lists this long non-coding RNA (954 nucleotides) under Olea europaea (common olive). RNAcentral's name for it is "long non-coding RNA (OEUR_LNC004405)". Lineage: Eukaryota; Viridiplantae; Streptophyta; Magnoliopsida; Lamiales; Oleaceae. The record is from RNAcentral.
GAUCUCAGACGACGCCUAUCGAAACACUGCGAAUCACAACAGCAAAAGCAGAAUCCGACUCAGACAGUGCCGGAACACUGCUUCAACCCAAGAAAGGCGAUCGAAUGAAGUUGGAAAGAACGGCACCGACAGGAAGACAAAACAAGUGCGACUGAAUGAAGAGGAAAGGAUUGACACCAACAAGAAGGCUUAUACUCGACCACGAAGACCUUGACUCCAACUUCGAGAAACAGAAGGUCGACUACUAGGAACCGGUCACCAAUCACACACACAACAAUAGGCCGUCUAUGAGGAACCUGUCACUGAUUGCGUCGGAAACACACGAAACAAACACAAGUUCGAAAUUAUUUUAAAACUGAUAUCAUGACAAGAAUUGGCCGAAUGCCCUUACAGUAUGUAUUUGCUUUCUAAUUUAUAGAAUUUUAAAUAGGCAUAAAAGGAAAGAAAAUCAAUUCCUAAUUCUAUGUGAGGGAAUCAAUCCCUGAUAUUAUGUGUCUCUACAAGAAAAGAUAACAAAUCAUAAAUCACGCCUCUAAUAAUCUAUACUCGCCAAAUCACUGCUAAUCCCAUUUUGUGACUAUCCAAUUCCUUACAUUGCCUAGAAUACUUCAUUUUUAUCUCUCGAAACUUUAGCUUACAGUUCUUUGUUGACUAUCUGAAAUAUUAAUUUUAUAUUGGGCAGGGGCAGCUGGUCUAUGAUUUUGUAUGAUACAAGUGUACUUAGGAGAGUUCUUUUUGGUAUUUUGUAUGUCAUUUCAUCAGUGGUUGACUGUACCUAGAACUCAUAUGAAGUGUUCAUAGUGGAUUUUCCUUUAAGCUGAAUCACAUCCUGUCGUCAUACAUUAUAUUUUCUUUUGGCCAGUUUAAAUUAAGGGGGGUCUGUUGGGAUAAUGAAGAUUUUCCCUGUACAACACCAUUUUCGGUUUUGUUUUCACAUUGGCUAAUUAAAUGUCC